AGCGUGGGGAGCGAACAGGAUUAGAUACCCUGGUAGUCCACGCCCUAAACGAUGUCAACUAGUUGUUGGUGGAGUAAAAUCCAUGAGUAACGUAGCUAACGCGUGAAGUUGACCGCCUGGGGAGUACGGUCGCAAGAUUAAAACUCAAAUGAAUUGACGGGGGCCCGCACAAGCGGUGGAUUAUGUGGAUUAAUUCGAUGCAACGCGAAAAACCUUACCUGGCCUUGACAUGUACGGAACUUUCUAGAGAUAGAUUGGUGCCUUCGGGAACCGUAACACAGGUGCUGCAUGGCUGUCGUCAGCUCGUGUCGUGAGAUGUUGGGUUAAGUCCCGCAACGAGCGCAACCCUUGCCAAUAAUUGCCAUCAUUUAGUUGGGCACUUUAUUGGGACUGCCGGUGACAAACCGGAGGAAGGUGGGGAUGACGUCAAGUCCUCAUGGCCCUUAUGGCCAGGGCUUCACACGUAAUACAAUGGUCGGUACAGAGGGUCGCCAACCCGCGAGGGGGAGCAAAUCCCAGAAAGCCGAUCGUAGUCCGGAUUGUUCUCUGCAACUCGAGAGCAUGAAGUCGGAAUCGCUAGUAAUCGCGGAUCAGAAUGUCGCGGUGAAUACGUUCCCGGGCCUUGUACACACCGCCCGUCACACCAUGGGAGUGGGUUUUACCAGAAGUAGGUAGUCUAACCUUCGGGGGGACGCUUACCACGGUAGUAUUCAUGACUGGGGUGAAGUCGUAACAAGGUAGCCGUAAAGGG
This 751-nucleotide ribosomal RNA is filed under the name uncultured bacterium. RNAcentral's name for it is "bacterial SSU rRNA". It matches the Rfam family "Bacterial small subunit ribosomal RNA", at positions 758 to 1509 of the family's 1533-position model. The record is from RNAcentral.